UGCAAGCACAUAUCUAUGAAAUCGGGUAAAACGUAGUUUUGAUAGUAUAUAUUUUUGAGGCAACAGUCCACUCUAGAUAAUGAUUAUUACGAAGAAAACAACUUGUUAAGUCGAAAAUGGCAGAAAAUGGUAGAGAUAUAGCAUUAUCUAGAAUUUACCUCUAGUAGUAUUGCCAAAUCUUCGAUCUAACUCUGUUAACCUUAAAAAGAGCUGUAAGAAAUUUUUUCUUAAUUUAGUACUCAUGCAGCGGCGACAAAAACUCAAAUCAGAAAACUUCUGGACUCCGGAAUCAUCAGACCCUACAGCAAUAUGUACGCCACUCCUAUUUAUAUGGCACGAUAGAAAGACAACAGCUGGAGAAUGUGCAGUGACUACUGUAAACUCAAUGAUGCCACUAAUCCAGACAUGUACAGUCAUGCUCUCAUCCAAGAUCUCUUUCUACUUCUAUAUAACAAAAGACGUUACAGCAGCAAAAUCGACGGUGAAAAAGAAUACCUACAACUAACCUAUGCACGAGGAUGAUAUUGAAAUAAUUGCCAUCAAAACCCCAAGGGAUCUUUACUAGCACCUAAAGACCUGGACUUCGUGUUCGUCUACGUAGAUGACAUUCUGGUAUUCUCGGACGUUGAAGACCAACACUUGAAACACGUACGCAUCAUACUCGAAUUAAAAGAUAACAACCUUAUAAUCAAUCUCAAAACACGUCUGUUUAACCAAUAGGAGAUAAACGUCCUGGAUUACACAAUUAACAAACAUAAUUACAUUCCAAUGUGCGUACGAGUUGAUGCCAUUAAAGGAUAUCAAAAACCUGAAACUAUUACUGCACUCCGUAGAUUUCUUGACAUGAUCAACUCCUAUGACCUCUGUAUACCUUAGGCAGCUCAAAUCAUGCUUCCUCUCAAUAGUUACCUUAAAGAAGCAAUAAAAAAUAUAAAACCAAGAUUGCAUUGACUCCUGAAGCCAAUGAGUUUUAAGCCACUGAAGCCAGUGUUUUACAUAAAGUUUUUCUGUUGAUUAUUUCAAUAAAGUAUGCCAUCGAUUCAAAGAAUACUGAUCAAAUAAUAUAAUGAUUAUAAGCAAUAGGAGAAAAGACAUUAAUGUUAACUAUAAUUCUAUAUCUUCUACAUUUUCUAAUAUGCAAUAAUUCUAUCAUUGAUCUUUUCUAUUUUAACUGAAAUGCAUCGUAUGAUAUUAUUAUAAAUUUAUUAACAGAUAUAUAUUUUUAUAUAAAUCUAUUAUUAAAAUAGAAAAUGAUUUUUGCAUUUUGCAUUUUAGUAUCUUGGAAUAACAAAUGAUAGAUUUUAAGAAUGGAAAUGUGAUCAUUGAAAGAACUAGAAUGAUAUAUACAGGGAAUAUUUUGAAACAUUUGUAUAAAAUAAUUUUCUUAUAUACUUCCAUUUUAUUUACUAGGAUUACCAAUAUCACUAAAGUAUUAUAAAUAUUAUUACUGAGAUAUUGACAUUUAUUUAUGGAAGACAGUAAUGCCAUAAGUUAGUCAUGCCAUAAUUUACAUCAUGGAAUUAGAAUAUACAAUAUAUGAUAACAGAA
Molecule: long non-coding RNA, 1548 nt
Organism: Vespa crabro (European hornet)
Lineage: Eukaryota; Metazoa; Arthropoda; Insecta; Hymenoptera; Vespidae
Exons: 3
Source: RefSeq, a predicted model, not a curated record